Molecule: ribosomal RNA, 449 nt
Filed under: uncultured bacterium
Lineage: Bacteria
Description: partial 16S ribosomal RNA
Rfam family: Bacterial small subunit ribosomal RNA
Source: RNAcentral
AAUGAACGCUGGCGGCAUGCCUAACACAUGCAAGUCGAACGAUGCUUUCGGGCAUAGUGGCGCACGGGUGCGUAACGCGUGGGAAUCCACCCCUGGGUUCGGAAUAACAGUUGGAAACGACUGCUAAUACCGGAUGAUGACGUAAGUCCAAAGAUGUAUCGCCCAGGGACGAGCCCGCGUAGGAUUAGCUAGUUGGUGGGGUAAAGGCCUACCAAGGCGACGAUCCUUAGCUGGUCUGAGAGGAUGAUCAGCCACACUGGGACUGAGACACGGCCCAGACUCCUACGGGAGGCAGCAGUGGGGAAUAUUGGACAAUGGGCGAAAGCCUGAUCCAGCAAUGCCGCGUGAGUGAUGAAGGCCUUAGGGUUGUAAAGCUCUUUUGCCCGGGAUGAUAAUGACAGUACCGGGAGAAUAAGCCCCGGCUAACUCCGUGCCAGCCGCCGCAGUAA